Molecule: long non-coding RNA, 750 nt
Filed under: Chinchilla lanigera (long-tailed chinchilla)
Lineage: Eukaryota; Metazoa; Chordata; Mammalia; Rodentia; Chinchillidae
Description: lncRNA (ENSCLAG00000028194.1)
Source: RNAcentral
GAAUGGUUGCACAGGGUUUCCUGGGGUGCAGCCUCCUACUGCUCCUUACUCACAAGCUCCUGAGGGGUCCACAGCCAGCACCUCUACCUGAGCUCCCAGCUCGGGGCUGCAGGGACACGAAGGUCUCCUUGGCGUCCCCAAAGCUUUCUAGGGCAAUGGGAGAAUUAAAAACCAGGCUUAUGUUAGGAGGUGGAUGGUGCUAGAUUCCGCAUAGCUCAGACUUUUAUUUUUCAGGAGCUCAUCCUCUUACACCAGUUCAGCUGUACUCUCCUAGCUUCUUCCUGUCACACCCGAAAGGAAUUCCUAGCCCUUUUGUGAGUAUGAAGGGUGCCAGGGCUGCACACUGCCCUGCGUGGCAGCUGCGUGACUCGGGAGUGACUCCCUUUGCUCCUCUAGAAGCAUCGAUGUUCCAGCAGGUCACUGUUGCUCCAGCCAGAUUCACAGGCUCCAGCCAACUCUUCAGGGCCCGAUGUGAGCUCGAAUCUCAAGCCAGGACAAAAGGGGCAUUUUUGCCCAUGGAAGAAAAGAAUAAGCUUUAAUGUCGGCAGCACAGAUGUAUGGAAUUCCACUGUCUGGAAUCGCUACGGUUACUGUGAGACGUGAUGAUUAAGGAAACAAGGGCCUUGCCCGGCGCUUCUACGCAGACCUCCCCAGUGGAAGGAGGCGGCUUUCCGCGGCAGGUCUCUAAUCCCAAGGGCAGCACAGGCACACAUUUUUCUCAAAAAUUCCCUGGGAAGAGGGAAGCAGGGG